Molecule: long non-coding RNA, 486 nt
Filed under: Homo sapiens (human)
Lineage: Eukaryota; Metazoa; Chordata; Mammalia; Primates; Hominidae
Description: HSALNT0255776
Source: RNAcentral
ACCGCCCCCUCCAGCCGCCCGGGCGCCCCGGCCGCGGUGGGGGGUGGGGAUGGAGAGACGCUGGUUGGAGACUGGAUCUCACCUGGACAGCAGGAGGCUUGAGCCCCGGAGUUUGAGGCUGCAGUGAGCUAUGACUGUGACACUGCAUUCCAGCCUGGGGGACUGAGUGAGAGCGUCUGUUAAAAACAAACAAACAAAAACCAGGUAUUGUUAUUGCAGGUAAGCAUGUGACAUUAUUUGUGUGUUGCCUUCCCUACUAGAACAUCAGCUCCACAAGGGCAGGAAUUUUUGCCUGUUGUCACCACGAUGUCCCUGGCACCCAGUAUGUUCUUGGUGUCCCCAUUGAUGAUGCAGGGAUGUGUGGAUAUGGGGCAGUGGACUGUGAGCAUGUGAUGAGCAUGUGACCCAGCCCCUAGUGACCGCACCACAUGGCACAGGUUGCUUAUAAAAACCAUUUUAAAUUAAAAAAGGGAGGAAGCAUCAGUG